UCAACAUUCAAAUAACCAAUUAUGCUUCACAUGUUUCAGUCUAUGAGUAGCACCAGCAAAAAAGUGGAUAUGGAAUCAAUCAUGGCAUUCAACUAUAAUAAGGCUAAGCAAGUGUUCCAAAAUUCUCAAGACAUCAUUAUUCUAAAGCAUUUUCUAUUCAGCAAAUAAAACGUUCUCUAGGCUAAGCAAGUGUUCCAAAAUUCUCAAGACAUCAUUAUUCUAAAGCAUUUUCUAUUCAGCAAAACCUGCUUGGUUCUGAUUUUGUAACAAAUCAUUCCUUCAUUGGCUUUAACAAUAACAAGCUUCUAGCUUAACUCUCACUGUUUAUUUUGCUCAAAUUAAAUCGCUAUCACCAAUCAAAAAGCCAUUAUCUCCAAAGUUACUUGCGCAACCAUCUUCUGUUAUCAUUAGGAUAUUCAAGUAAAUUACGAUAUAAAGAAAGUGGGGUUCACGAGUUCAUACAAUCAGACAU
RNAcentral lists this long non-coding RNA (472 nucleotides) under Populus trichocarpa (black cottonwood). Its description in RNAcentral is "long non-coding RNA (PTRI_LNC002458)". Lineage: Eukaryota; Viridiplantae; Streptophyta; Magnoliopsida; Malpighiales; Salicaceae. The record is from RNAcentral.